Molecule: ribosomal RNA, 346 nt
Filed under: uncultured bacterium
Lineage: Bacteria
Description: bacterial SSU rRNA
Rfam family: Bacterial small subunit ribosomal RNA
Source: RNAcentral
AGAGUUUGAUCAUGGCUCAGGAUGAACGCUAGCUACAGGCUUAACACAUGCAAGUCGAGGGGCAGCAUGUUGGUUGCUUGCAACCAACGAUGGCGACCGGCGCACGGGUGAGUAACGCGUAUCCGACCUACCCUUGUCCAUCGGAUAACCCGUCGAAAGGCGGCCUAACACGAUAUGCGGUUCACAGCAGGCAUCUAACGUGAACAAAAUGUAAAGGAGAAGGAUGGGGAUGCGUCUGAUUAGCUUGUUGGCGGGGUAACGCCACAAGGCUACGAUCAGUAGGGGUUCUGAGAGGAAGGUCCCCCACAUUGGAACUGAGACACGGUCCAAACUCCUACGGGAGGCA